This 302-nucleotide ribosomal RNA is filed under the name uncultured bacterium. RNAcentral's name for it is "partial 16S ribosomal RNA". It matches the Rfam family "Bacterial small subunit ribosomal RNA", at positions 508 to 807 of the family's 1533-position model. The record is from RNAcentral.
GCAGCAGCCACGGGAAUACAGAGGGUGCGAGCGUUAAUCGGAUUUACUGGGCGUAAAGCGUGCGUAGGCGGCUUCUUAAGUCGGAUGUGAAAUCCCUGAGCUUAACUUAGGAAUUGCAUUCGAUACUGGGAAGCUAGAGUAUGGGAGAGGAUGGUAGAAUUCCAGGUGUAGCGGUGAAAUGCGUAGAGAUCUGGAGGAAUACCGAUGGCGAAGGCAGCCAUCUGGCCUAAUACUGACGCUGAGGUACGAAAGCAUGGGGAGCAAACAGGAUUAGAUACCCCAGUAGUCCCUGUCUCUUAUAC